GACGAACGCUGGCGGCGUGCUUAACACAUGCAAGUCGAACGGUAAGGCUCCAGCUUGCUGGGGUACACGAGUGGCGAAAGGGUGAGUAACACGUGGGUGACCUGCCCUGCACUUCGGGAUAAGCCUGGGAAACUGGGUCUAAUAACGGAUAGGACCGCACCGUGAGGGUGUGGUGGAAAGGUUUUUCGGUGUGGGAUGGGCCCGCGGCCUAUCAGCUUGUUGGUGGGGUAAUGGCCUACCAAGGCGGCGACGGGGAGCCGGCCUGAGAGGGUGGACGGCCACAUUGGGACUGCGACACGGCCCAGACUCCUACGGGAGGCAGCAGUGGGGAAUAUUGCACAAUGGGCGGAAGCCUGAUGCAGCGACGCCGCGUGGGGGAUGACGGCCUUCGGGUUGUAAACUCCUUUCACCAUCGACGAAGGGUUUCUGACGGUAGAUGGAGAAGAAGCACCGGCUAACUACGUG
RNAcentral lists this ribosomal RNA (465 nucleotides) under uncultured bacterium. RNAcentral describes it as "partial 16S ribosomal RNA". It matches the Rfam family "Bacterial small subunit ribosomal RNA", at positions 28 to 507 of the family's 1533-position model. The record is from RNAcentral.